This 253-nucleotide ribosomal RNA is filed under the name uncultured bacterium. RNAcentral describes it as "partial 16S ribosomal RNA". It matches the Rfam family "Bacterial small subunit ribosomal RNA", at positions 524 to 776 of the family's 1533-position model. The record is from RNAcentral.
CACGUAGGUGGCAAGCGUUGUCCGGAAUUAUUGGGCGUAAAGCGCGCGCAGGCGGUCCUUUAAGUCUGAUGUGAAAGCCCACGGCUCAACCGUGGAGGGUCAUUGGAAACUGGGGGACUUGAGUACAGAAGAGGAAAGCGGAAUUCCAAGUGUAGCGGUGAAAUGCGUAGAGAUUUGGAGGAACACCAGUGGCGAAGGCGGCUUUCUGGUCUGUAACUGACGCUGAGGCGCGAAAGCGUGGGGAGCAAACAGG